CGCCUGCCGGCGACCGGCGCACGGGUGAGUAACACGUAUGCGACCUGCCCCCCGCAGGGGGAUAACCGGGAGAAAUCCCGACUAAUACCGCGUAACGCCGCGGACCUGCAUGGGUCUGCGGCCAAAGGAAGCGAUUCCGGCGGGGGAUGGGCAUGCGGCGCAUUAGCUAGUCGGCGGGGUAACGGCCCACCGAGGCGACGAUGCGUAGGGGUUCUGAGAGGAAGGUCCCCCACAUUGGAACUGAGACACGGUCCAAACUCCUACGGGAGGCAGCAG
RNAcentral lists this ribosomal RNA (276 nucleotides) under uncultured bacterium. RNAcentral describes it as "partial 16S ribosomal RNA". It matches the Rfam family "Bacterial small subunit ribosomal RNA", at positions 82 to 354 of the family's 1533-position model. The record is from RNAcentral.